Molecule: long non-coding RNA, 462 nt
Filed under: Athene cunicularia (burrowing owl)
Lineage: Eukaryota; Metazoa; Chordata; Aves; Strigiformes; Strigidae
Description: lncRNA (ENSACUG00000011729.1)
Source: RNAcentral
GCUUGAUUACUGGUGGCAAGAAAACAUAUGCUAUGUGCCUGUUCAUGUUAAAAGAGUUGUAGAGGCUUCAGGGGAGUUGAAUGGGCAAGAUGUUUCAAAAAGUAAAAGCAGUAUUUUCUAGAGCAAAAUUAUCACCUGCGGAAUCAGAUUGCCAGAAUGAAGGUGUCUCUCCACCACCCAAGGCAUCUACAGGCCAGGGUGAAAAUAAAAACACAGAUGAACGACAGAAAUCAGAGGCCAAUAAGAAAGCAGAACCCACAACAAACCAACAAGGUACAGUCCCAACAAAAUCACCUGAGCCUUCAAAAACUGAAAAAUCAACCGAACCAGCUAAGAAAAUUCAACAAGAACAGCAUUUGAUCAGUGAUGGGAAAGAAGAUGCUAAGUGAGUAAAUUCAAUUUUAAAGAUUGAGGCUUUUUCCCUGAUAUCCUGAUUUAACAUUUCUGUAUGCCAUAUUUCAG